Molecule: long non-coding RNA, 1176 nt
Filed under: Glycine max (soybean)
Lineage: Eukaryota; Viridiplantae; Streptophyta; Magnoliopsida; Fabales; Fabaceae
Description: long non-coding RNA (GMAX_LNC000705)
Source: RNAcentral
UUUUAUAUGUGAAAUUGAGAUGGACAAAUAUUGACCAUUAGAUCUUAAUAUAAAUUAUCAAAAUUAAAACACAAAAAAUCACAACUUCUUGAAAAAGUUGUGACUAUUAGUAACUUUUAAUCUUGAUUGUCCGUAUAUCCAAGAAGGGUAACAUGUGAGUGACGAGAGGAUCUGCUAGCCUUGAUCAUACAAUCAAAGUGGAUGGUCAAAAUUAGUUUUAAGUAAAACAAUCUUGACUAUCCAAUAUCCAUUCAUUCCAUUGAUGGUAAUAUGACUAAAAUUAACUUUUAUCACUUCUCACAUUCUUGUUAGAUAUGCCACACAUUAUGUGGCCACAAAAAAUCUAUGAUAUGCUAUCAAGCAGAGAUAAUGAUUGGCUGAUGUCCUGCUUUCUUCUCCUCUGUCAGUCCCCAACCUCCUUCCCUUCUAUGCAGGUCCAUAGCGAUUUUCCAAUCCCCAUUCCCCCUUACUUUGUUUCCUACAUUAUCUUCUAAUGCCCAAACCCCCCUAAACAUAGCCAAGUUCCCUAACCACACAAGAUAUUAAAUCCAUCAUAACCACAUUUCAAUCCAUAUUCUUGUGGCUAACCAGGGACCCCACUUUCAUCACAAGAUUUAUGCACAAAAAAUAUAUUUAUUUCACCUGCCAUCUAGAACCCCGAAUAUCUCAACAAAACCCCAGAGCAUUACAAGCAGCAAUUUGAAGGUUUGUGUUAACUUAUAGUUACAGAUACAAAACCCACAAUCAUUUUGUCACAACAGAUAAACUUCAAAUAAUAUACUCCUUUUUAAACUAUUGCUUUUGAUAGAUGUCGUUAAUCUUACGUCAUCAUGUCAUCACUUAAAUUAGUAUAGGUACCGAAAGUAAAAGUUUGAAUAUCUUAAGAAAUAAAAUAAAUUAAAAAAUAUUUUUUUAGGUAGUAAAUUGAAAAAUGAAUAUAUUACAAGUAUAAAAAACAUAAUUAAGCCUUGAACUUUUAUAGAAAUUCUCUCGUCAACUUAUCACAGACUGUAUUUUAACUACAAAUAUUUACAGUAAGUGCCUUGUUCAGUAAAAAGUAAAAGUAAAAGGCACCUCUUUGCAGGUUUUCUGGUGUGCAGCUAAGAGGUCAUUGUAUUUGAUUUGCAGAUCGGAGAAUUCGGCUUGCAACUUUUCAUAUUCUGAGAUGGAAGGACA